RNAcentral lists this ribosomal RNA (463 nucleotides) under Vibrio cholerae. Its description in RNAcentral is "bacterial SSU rRNA". It matches the Rfam family "Bacterial small subunit ribosomal RNA", at positions 1 to 459 of the family's 1533-position model. Lineage: Bacteria; Pseudomonadati; Pseudomonadota; Gammaproteobacteria; Vibrionales; Vibrionaceae. The record is from RNAcentral. RNAcentral also lists the same sequence under 1 other name.
UAAUUGAAGAGUUUGAUCAUGGCUCAGAUUGAACGCUGGCGGCAGGCCUAACACAUGCAAGUCGAGCGGCAGCACAGAGGAACUUGUUCCUUGGGUGGCGAGCGGCGGACGGGUGAGUAAUGCCUGGGAAAUUGCCCGGUAGAGGGGGGAUAACCAUUGGAAACGAUGGCUAAUACCGCAUAACCUCGCAAGAGCAAAGCAGGGGACCUUCGGGCCUUGCGCUACCGGAUAUGCCCAGGUGGGAUUAGCUAGUUGGUGAGGUAAGGGCUCACCAAGGCGACGAUCCCUAGCUGGUCUGAGAGGAUGAUCAGCCACACUGGAACUGAGACACGGUCCAGACUCCUACGGGAGGCAGCAGUGGGGAAUAUUGCACAAUGGGCGCAAGCCUGAUGCAGCCAUGCCGCGUGUAUGAAGAAGGCCUUCGGGUUGUAAAGUACUUUCAGUAGGGAGGAAGGUGGUUAAG